CCUACGGGUGGCAGCAGUGAGGAAUAUUGGUCAAUGGACGAGAGUCUGAACCAGCCAAGUAGCGUGAAGGAUGACUGCCCUAUGGGUUGUAAACUUCUUUUAUAUGGGAAUAAAAUGUUCCACGUGUGGGAUUUUGUAUGUACCAUAUGAAUAAGGAUCGGCUAACUCCGUGCCAGCAGCCGCGGUAAUACGGAGGAUCCGAGCGUUAUCCGGACUUAUUGGGUUUAAAGGGAGCGUAGGUGGAUUGUUAAGUCAGUUGUGAAAGUUUGCGGCUCAACCGUAAAAUUGCAGUUGAAACUGGCAGUCUUGAGUACAGUAGAGGUGGGCGGAAUUCGUGGUGUAGCGGUGAAAUGCUUAGAUAUCACGAAGAACUCCGAUUGCGAAGGCAGUUCACUGGACUGCAACUGACACUGAGGCUCGAAAGUGUGGGUAUCAAACAGGAUUAGAUACCCGUGUAGUC
RNAcentral lists this ribosomal RNA (460 nucleotides) under uncultured bacterium. Its description in RNAcentral is "partial 16S ribosomal RNA". It matches the Rfam family "Bacterial small subunit ribosomal RNA", at positions 338 to 795 of the family's 1533-position model. The record is from RNAcentral.